AUUAUACUCCCUUCGUCCCAAAAUUCUUGUCUUAGAUUUGUUUAAAUAUGGAUGUAUCAAGUCACGUUUUAGUAUUAGGUAUAUCCGUAUUUAGAUGAAUCUAAGACAAGAAUUUUGGGACCGAGGGAGUAUGUG
Triticum aestivum (bread wheat) is the source of this 135-nucleotide non-coding RNA. The record is from Rfam. Lineage: Eukaryota; Viridiplantae; Streptophyta; Magnoliopsida; Poales; Poaceae.